UUUAAGUAUAAUCGUGUGUGACCGUCCGUCUUAUUUAAACUUUUUUAAAAUUAGUAUUUUUAUUGUUAUUAAAUGAUAAAACAUGAACAAUACUUUAUACGUGACUUAUUUUUUUAAAAAAAAUUCAGAUAAAACGGACAUUUAAUCGUUGGAAAAAAACAUACAUCUGCACUUAAA
RNAcentral lists this microRNA precursor (177 nucleotides) under Oryza glumipatula. RNAcentral describes it as "MIR812 microRNA precursor family". It matches the Rfam family "MIR812 microRNA precursor family". The record is from Rfam by way of RNAcentral. Lineage: Eukaryota; Viridiplantae; Streptophyta; Magnoliopsida; Poales; Poaceae.